GUACACUCCUACGGGAGGCAGCAGUGGGGAAUAUUGGACAAUGGGCGCAAGCCUGAUCCAGCCAUGCCGCGUGAGUGAUGAAGGCCCUAGGGUUGUAAAGCUCUUUCACCGGUGAAGAUAAUGACGGUAACCGGAGAAGAAGCCCCGGCUAACUUCGUGCCAGCAGCCGCGGUAAUACGAAGGGGGCUAGCGUUGUUCGGAUUUACUGGGCGUAAAGCGCACGUAGGCGGACUAUUAAGUCAGGGGUGAAAUCCCGGGGCUCAACCCCGGAACUGCCUUUGAUACUGGUAGUCUUGAGUUCGGGAGAGGUGAGUGGAAUUCCGAGUGUAGAGGUGAAAUUCGUAGAUAUUCGGAGGAACACCAGUGGCGAAGGCGGCUCACUGGCUCGAUACUGACGCUGAGGUGCGAAAGCGUGGGGAGCAAACAGGAUUAGAAACCCCGGUAGGCCCAUGA
Molecule: ribosomal RNA, 453 nt
Filed under: uncultured organism
Description: partial 16S ribosomal RNA
Rfam family: Bacterial small subunit ribosomal RNA
Source: RNAcentral